Betta splendens (Siamese fighting fish) is the source of this 1885-nucleotide long non-coding RNA. Ensembl lists it as uncharacterized. Lineage: Eukaryota; Metazoa; Chordata; Actinopteri; Anabantiformes; Osphronemidae. The record is from Ensembl.
CUAAAAGACUGACGACCAGUCUCCAAGUCUCAGACCUGAAACAAAUGAGGAAAAUGAUUAGUACAUUUUAUAUGAAUAAAAAAAAGAGAAUAAUCUGUGAUGUUGGCCAAAGGGAACAAAAACCCAUGAAAUAUCAUUCUCUCUUCUUUCUCAGUCAGACUGUAUGUUGACAUUCUGUUGUCAAGUCACCAGAUACUUUUCAGCAGCUCUCAGGUCAGUAGAUUUGCUGGCCAGAGACUGGAGGCAGCCAUCCACAGACCGCUAAGGGGCUUGAAUCUGUUUAUAUAUGUAUAUAUGCAGUAUAUUAUGUACGUACGUCUGGAUAAUUCUUGGAUGGCACCUUGAGCGAAGCCAAGCUCAAGGUGUUAGGAUGAAGUUUAACACUAGAAAGGUCAUGGAGGUCAUGCUCUUGUUUGUUUUGUGUGAUAAUUUAGCGCGUGGAACAGAUGGCGGCGUUUCCAUCUCCAUGGACUUUUGUUACUUGUCGUUAGUGUCUCAGAGCUGUCUGAGGUGUCCUGUACCACCGCCUGCUUUUGUUUUUAUUUGUCUGACUUGGUACUUCAUGUUAUAUUUUUUAUGACAGUAGAGCCACAGUAGAGCAAGUGAUAAUGCUAUUAACAGCACCGCCCUCGCUCCUAUCCAGCAUUUACAGGAUGGAUGUGAUGUGGGACGGCCAUAUGCGUGUUGAUGCGUGAAAUGAGAAUACAAUGGGUUUUAAAAGAUGUAAUAAAUGACAUUUACACCCACUGGUGUUCAUAAUAUUACAGUGUGUCAUUUCGAAGGUGUGUGGUUAAACACUUGUUUAUGAGCAACUGGGACUAGAGUGAAGCUGAACAGGGAAGUGAGUCAGGGAUGGGGUUACGAGCGCUACUGCUUUCGCCAAGCGUGAGGAGGAAGUGGCAGCACAUACACAGGUAGAUACAGUUAAAAGCAAACGCAGCGCAGUGAAGGCGACCGAGGACGAACAUGUCAGAUGGAGCAAAGCUGCUGUUUGAAGGCUUCUUAGAGAAAAGAAAGGACACUCUGAAGAUGAGGUGGACGACCUACUGGUUCAGGCUUCAGAAUUCAACUCUGUUCUUCUACACACAGAAGAACGGCAGCGCUUCACACUUAAGAGGCUAUUACUACAUCUAUUCAGUGCAGUCCGUGCGAGAGGUCCAAAAGGCCAGCGGCAGUCGCUACAUGUUUGAGAUGAUUCUGAAAAAUGGAAAGCAAAAACUGUUGGCGGCGGAGACGGCGGCGCUCAGACAGGAGUGGGUGGGACACCUGUGGCAGGCCAUGCUGCUCUCCACCUCCGUGGUCCCACGGUGGGUCUCGCGCCACAUCCACACUUCCACCCCUCACACGCAUGCGGAUGACUCUCCCGCGCGUCUGCGCCCACAGCCCCGACGCGUGCGAGCCGCGCGACAGGAACAGCAGCGUGCCCGCGCGCGCGCUCGGCGACAGCGCGAUGGAGACGCUCCCCGCGCGGCCCCUGUCGGCCCCCGCGCCGCUGGACCGCAUCCGCGAGGAGAGCUGGGCGUCCGCGUACGCGGAGCUGAGCGCCGGCGAGGAGCCCACGCGCCGAAACACGCCGCUCCACCAGGCAAACAGCGACCGCGUCCACGCGCUGCCGUGGUUCGGGGAGCUGAGCAGCACCGAGUGCAGCCAGGACGGAGACUACGACGUGUUGCCACGUAGAAAGCACACGGACGAGGCAGACGCUACGGAAGCAGACGAGGUCGUGUACGACUACCCUCUGUCCUACAGGAUGAACAUCAGGCAUCAAGAGGAAACGGAGAGCAUCUACGACGUCCCGAGGUCUCUUCUGCGGCUGCACGUCCCCGCAGGCAGCGCCGCAGCGGAGGAGGAUGAGCCUCAAGAGGGAAUCUACUGGAGGGUCUGA